GGGAGGAUUAUCCGGAUGAACCCCAUCCGGAAGGAGGAUAAGGAGGUGGAAGCUCCAGGGCAUUCGACGCCGUGGAGGAAGAGGCGGAGGCGGCCGAGGAGGAUGAGGAUGGAGGCCGGCAUCCGUACAGCCGCAAGGACACGAUGGCGGUGUAUAACGCCUGGAUCAGCGUCUCGUACGAUCCCAUCGUCGGGAAUCAACAAUCCCGGAAGUGCUUAUGGGAAAAGGUCACUGAGGCCUACAAAGAAACCAGAGACUCGAAAUUCUCCUCCGUCCGCGACGAUGUCGUCAAACAACGACAGCCCGUCUUCCCCCACAGCCGCCGACACUACACCGUUCCUCGGCGAACAGAGCCCCAGCAAUCUCUCCCGCUUCCUCGGUCGCACGCCCAGCAUCCGCGGCGCCGCCCGCUUCCUCCGCCGCGGCCGCUCGAUGCGGGAGCCCUCCGUCCGCGUCCGCGAAGCUGCGGCCGAGCAAAUCGAGGAGCGCCAGAGCGAUUGGGCCUACUCCAAGCCCAUAGUCGUAUUGGACCUUGUCUGGAACCUCGCCUUCGUCAUCGUCUCAAUUUCCGUUCUGAUCAUGAGCCGUGAUGAAAACCCCUCGAUGCCUCUGCGGCUUUGGAUUGUCGGCUACGCGCUGCAGUGCGUCCUUCACAUGAUCUGCGUCUGCGCCGAGUACAGGAAGAGGUAUUCCCAGCGCAAUUCUGAGAGAACGUACACCCGGAAUUACUCGAAUUCGAGCUCCGGAAGUGAUGACGUGGAAUCCGGCGGUUAUGAUUCGGAGCGCCAGCAGAGUGAUGAUGAAACUAGUGUUGCUAAACUCCUGGAGACUGCAAAUACAAUGUUCUCGUUCAUUUGGUGGAUAAUUGGGUUCUACUGGGUAUCUUCUGGUGGCCCGGAUUUGACUGCUGAAUCGCCACAGCUUUACUGGCUUUCCAUUGCAUUCUUGGCAUUCGAUGUUUUCUUCGUUGUGGUUUGUGUUGCUGUGGCAUGUAUAAUUGGAAUUGCUGUUUGCUGCUGUCUACCAUGUAUCAUUGCAAUCUUAUAUGCAGUUGCAGAUCAGGAAGGAGCUACUAAGGAAGAUAUUGAGAGACUGCCAAAAUUCAGAUUUCGGAAAAUUGGUGACUUUGAGAAGCAAAAUGGUGACACUCAAGAAUCAUUUGGAGGAAUAAUAACUGAAUGCGAUACUGAUUCUCCCACAGAGCAUGUUCUACCUCUUGACGAUGCUGAAUGUUGUAUUUGCCUUUGUGCCUACGAUGAUGGAGCUGAGCUGCGCGAACUCCCCUGUCGGCAUCAUUUUCACUCAGCCUGCAUAGACAAGUGGCUACACAUAAAUGCAAUUUGUCCACUCUGCAAAUUCAAUAUACUGAAAACUGGCAGUCACAUUGACAGCGAAGAAGCAUAAUCGAGAAAUGUAUAAACGAUCAACCAGGAGACUUGUUUAACUUUGAUGUUGGAUGACUAAAGCUUUCCUGCUUCAGGAUCAACAACGUGAAAUGGAGAACAACAACGAAGGUACUCCAAUGACGAGCGGGUCUCAAACUCCCCCGGUACCCGUGGUAGGUGUAUGGGGUCCGAUGCCCGGGAACUACAACAUGUACCCGUGGCAACAGAUGAUGCCCGAGAUGGCAGCCGGGGGGAGAUCGCCGGGGGGGUUACUGGCGAUGCCGGGGUGGGCACCCGAUAUGCAGAUGAUGCCGGGAGGAGUACUGGCGACGCAGGGCGGAACGUCUAUCGCCCAAGUUUUGAUUUUUUCGACUGCUUCUUCGCACACAUCGACCCCAGCGGAGGCGCAGUUCACGCAAUAUGAGACUUUCUCCUUAGAGGAGUUGGGGUUUGAUCUUCUCGUUGUUCCGGAAACUCC
Salvia splendens (bonfire salvia) is the source of this 1863-nucleotide RNA transcript. It is a transcript of the gene named E3 ubiquitin-protein ligase At1g63170-like, with no coding region annotated. NCBI's taxonomy places the organism in Eukaryota, Viridiplantae, Streptophyta, Magnoliopsida, Lamiales, Lamiaceae. The record is from RefSeq and is a predicted model, not a curated record. The transcript has 6 exons.